This 216-nucleotide unclassified non-coding RNA is filed under the name plant metagenome. RNAcentral describes it as "partial contains small subunit ribosomal RNA and internal transcribed spacer 1". The record is from RNAcentral.
AAGUUAUAACAAGGUUUUUGUAGGUAAACCUACAGAAGAAUUAUUACCUUUCUAGCUAUUUAAUAGCUUGUCUAAGGGCUGUAGUUUCUAUAGUCUCUAACUACAUCUAUGUUUUUUUGCGUACUAUAUAUUUCCUUAGCAGGCUUACUUACUAGUUAGAUAAACUAAAACUCUUUACAAUUACAAUUAGCGUCUAAAUUAUAUAAUAAAUUACAA